GAAAGCUUGCUUUCUUGCUGACGAGCGGCGGACGGGUGAGUAAUGUAUGGGGAUCUGCCCGAUAGAGGGGGAUAACUACUGGAAACGGUGGCUAAUACCGCAUAAUGUCUACGGACCAAAGCAGGGGCUCUUCGGACCUUGCACUAUCGGAUGAACCCAUAUGGGAUUAGCUAGUAGGUGGGGUAAAGGCUCACCUAGGCGACGAUCUCUAGCUGGUCUGAGAGGAUGAUCAGCCACACUGGGACUGAGACACGGCCCAGACUCCUACGGGAGGCAGCAGUGGGGAAUAUUGCACAAUGGGCGCAAGCCUGAUGCAGCCAUGCCGCGUGUAUGAAGAAGGCCUUAGGGUUGUAAAGUACUUUCA
This 364-nucleotide ribosomal RNA is filed under the name Proteus mirabilis. RNAcentral describes it as "bacterial SSU rRNA". It matches the Rfam family "Bacterial small subunit ribosomal RNA", at positions 74 to 438 of the family's 1533-position model. Lineage: Bacteria; Pseudomonadati; Pseudomonadota; Gammaproteobacteria; Enterobacterales; Morganellaceae. The record is from RNAcentral.